Molecule: non-coding RNA, 57 nt
Organism: Schistocephalus solidus
Lineage: Eukaryota; Metazoa; Platyhelminthes; Cestoda; Diphyllobothriidea; Diphyllobothriidae
Source: Rfam
GAGCCCGUGGCUCAAUGGUAGAGCGUUCGACUCAAAUACCAAAGGUCGCCGGGUUUG